UACGAAGGUGGCAAGCGUUACUCGGAAUUACUAGGCGUAAAGGGCAGGUAGGUGGUUUGGUAAGUCUGUUGUGAAAGCUCCUGGCUUAACUGGGAGAGGUCAAUAGAUACUGCUGAACUUGAGUAUAGGAGAGGUUACUGGAAUUCCCGGUGUAGCGGUGAAAUGCGCAGAGAUCGGGAGGAACACCAAUGGCGAAAGCAGGUAACUGGACUAUUACUGACACUAAGCUGCGAAAGCUAGGGGAGCAAACAGG
This 253-nucleotide ribosomal RNA is filed under the name uncultured bacterium. Its description in RNAcentral is "partial 16S ribosomal RNA". It matches the Rfam family "Bacterial small subunit ribosomal RNA", at positions 524 to 776 of the family's 1533-position model. The record is from RNAcentral.